GACGGAGGGUGCAAGCGUUGUUCGGAAUUACUGGGCGUAAAGCGCGUGUAGGCGGCUCUGCAAGUCGGAUGUGAAAGCCCUGGGCUCAACCUAGGAAGUGCACUCGAAACUGCAGAGCUUGAGUCUCGGAGAGGAUCGCGGAAUUCUCGGUGUAGAGGUGAAAUUCGUAGAUAUCGAGAGGAACACCGGUGGCGAAGGCGGCGAUCUGGACGAUGACUGACGCUGAGACGCGAAAGCGUGGGGAGCAAACAGG
This 253-nucleotide ribosomal RNA is filed under the name uncultured bacterium. RNAcentral's name for it is "partial 16S ribosomal RNA". It matches the Rfam family "Bacterial small subunit ribosomal RNA", at positions 524 to 776 of the family's 1533-position model. The record is from RNAcentral.